AUUGAACGCUGGCGGCAUGCCUUACACAUGCAAGUCGAACGGCAGCAUGGAAGAGCUUGCUCUUCUGAUGGCGAGUGGCGAACGGGUGAGUAAAGCAUCGGAACGUACCGUGUAGUGGGGGAAACGUAGCGAAAGUUACGCUAAUACCGCAUACGCACUGAGGUGGAAAGCAGGGGAUCGCAAGACCUUGCGCUCUACGAGCGGCCGAUGUCAGAUUAGCUAGUUGGUAGGGUAAAGGCCUACCAAGGGGACGAUCUGUAGCGGGGCGGAGAGGAUGAUCGGCCACACUGGGACUGAGACACGGCCCAGACUCCUACGGGAGGCAGCAGUGGGGAAUUUUGGACAAUGGGGGAAACCCUGAUCCAGCCAUGCCGCGUGAGUGAAGAAGGCCUUCGGGUUGUAAAGCUCUUUCGGCUGGGAAGAAAUCGCACAGGCUAAUACUCUGUGUGGAUGACGGUACCAGCACAAGAAGCACCGGCUAACUACGUGCCAGCAGCCGCGGUAA
RNAcentral lists this ribosomal RNA (505 nucleotides) under uncultured bacterium. Its description in RNAcentral is "partial 16S ribosomal RNA". It matches the Rfam family "Bacterial small subunit ribosomal RNA", at positions 29 to 523 of the family's 1533-position model. The record is from RNAcentral.